This 373-nucleotide ribosomal RNA is filed under the name uncultured Geobacter sp. RNAcentral's name for it is "bacterial SSU rRNA". It matches the Rfam family "Bacterial small subunit ribosomal RNA", at positions 1008 to 1382 of the family's 1533-position model. The record is from RNAcentral. Lineage: Bacteria; Pseudomonadati; Thermodesulfobacteriota; Desulfuromonadia; Geobacterales; Geobacteraceae.
GCGAGGGUGCCUUCGGGAGCCGUAAGACAGGUGCUGCAUGGCUGUCGUCAGCUCGUGUCGUGAGAUGUUGGGUUAAGUCCCGCAACGAGCCGCAACCCCUAUCCACAGUUGCCAUCAUUAAGUUGGGCACUCUGUGGAGACUGCCGGUGUUAAACCGGAGGAAGGUGGGAUGACGUCAAGUCCUCAUGGCCCUUAUGACCAGGGCUACACACGUGCUACAAUGGCCGGUACAAAGAGUUGCGAUACCGCGAGGUGGAGCUAAUCUCAUAAAGCCGGUCUCAGUUCGGAUUGGAGUCUGCAACUCGACUCCAUGAAGUUGGAAUCGCUAGUAAUCGCGGAUCAGCACGCCGCGGUGAAUACGUUCCCAGGCCUU